This 1248-nucleotide ribosomal RNA is filed under the name Triticum aestivum (bread wheat). RNAcentral describes it as "partial small subunit ribosomal RNA". Lineage: Eukaryota; Viridiplantae; Streptophyta; Magnoliopsida; Poales; Poaceae. The record is from RNAcentral.
AUGGCCGACGCCUCCUUUCCCUCGCCCGCGAUGUUGCCGCCGUCCGAUUCCGACCUGCUCCUGCCGCCCACCGACGCCCCGACCCCCGAAGCCGCCGCCAGGACCCCCAACCUCCCCGACACCCCCGCCUCCGCCGCGGAUCCAGAGACCCCCUUCUCCGACGCCGCCACCGCCUCCGACGCCGACGUUUCCGCCGUCGCCCCGCUCUACGCGGCGGCCGUGGAUGACGCCGAGGACGACGGGAUCAACGACCCCUCGGGCGCCGCCAGGAAGCACAUGACCCUCGCGCCCCCGGCCCCGCCGACCAAGAAGUCCAAGAAGAAGGGCGGCAACUGCGUCUGGACCAGGCCCAACUCCCGCAAGGGGAAGAAGAAGGCCAAGCCGCCCGGCCACGCCGUCGCCGGCGGCGCCGGCGCCAGCGGAGGCGGCCGCCCCAGGCCCUCCUGUGGCGAGGACGAGUUCCUCCUCACCCCGGCACCCCGCCUCGCGGCCGAACGCAACGACGACGGGCCUGAACUGCCUGUGCUCCUCUCGCGUGUCUACAAGUCCGAGAAGAUCGAGGUCUCGGAGGAUCGCCUAACCGCAGGCAGCACCAAGGGCUACCGAAUGAUACGUGCCACCCGUGGCAUUGCAUCCGGUGCUUGGUAUUUUGAGGUCAAGGUCAUGCACCUUGGUAGCUCCGGCGCCACCCGUCUCGGCUGGGCCACCAACAAGGCUGACAUCCAGACACCUGUGGGUUGCGACAGCUUUGGUUUCAGUUACCGCAGCGUCGAUGGCUCCAAGGUGUACAAGGCCUGGAGGGAUAAGUAUGCCGAUGAAGGAUACGGCGAAGGAGAUAUUCUGGGCUUCUACAUUUCUCUGCCUCAGGGCGAGCUGUAUGAGCCCAAACAACCUGACCUGGUUAAGUACAAGGGAAUGCCUUUCCAUGCACAAGGUCUCAAGGAUGAGAAAAAGACGCCGGAUCCUGUUCCUGGAAGUGAGAUAGUUUACUUCAAGAACGGGGUAUGCCAAGGCACGGCCUUUGAGGAUAUUCCUGGAGGGCGCUACUACCCAGCUGCAUCAAUGUACUCACUGCCUGAUGAGCCGAAUUGUGAGGUCAGGUUCAACUUUGGGCCUGAUUUCACGUUCUUUCCUGAAGACUUCGCAGGCCGUCCUGUCCCUCGGCCAAUGAGCGAGGUGCCUUACCAGGCAUAUGAGCUGAAGAACGAGGGACCUGCUGAAAAUGGUAAUGCUGAAAAGGCUGGUUAG